CAGGCAAGUCAUUAUAACUUUUUGUGUGGGACAACUAACUACCAAAAUGGACAAGUUUUUGUGGUCAGAAAAUUGUGAACCGUCAACUUCUAAGAAAGCCCAUGUAAAUCAGGCAGAAGAAAGAAGUGCACGGACUCAGGAGCAAAUCGAACUUGCAGUUGCAGAAGCGAUGCGUUCACACUCCGGAGCCGCUGGUGCUGCUGGCUCUGCGUGUUCUGAAUGACCGCUGUCGCAAGCGUCCGAUGGAAGGCGACUCCCUUGGCGACAGCCCCAAGGACUUACCAAAAAAGCCCAAGAAAUCAAUGAAGAACGAACCAGAAUUGUUCCCAAAUUCAUUGGACUUUAAGAAUUCAGGCAUCAUGGCGGCUGGCCAGGAUCGAGGGCGCCCUCGUGAAGGAAAUGAGAAUGGGCUGGAUAGCCAGCAUGAAUUUUUAAGGCAUACAAUACCUUCCAGGAUAUAUUCUAGUUAAAUGCAUUGAUGAGAACUCCAAGAAGUGGCUGGAGUAUGAGGAGCCGAAGAUCUCGGAGAUGAGAAAAUGGUCGAGCAUAGGAAAACCAACAUAUGACAUUAAAGGCAAAAAUUAGGGGUGAACUAAAGACAAUUGAUUCGGGACAGCAUUUGAAACUUAACCAUCAACAUUAUUUAUACCAACAUAUCUUAAGACACUUGAUGCGGGACGGCAUUUGAAACUUAACCAUCAAAAUAACAUAUACCAACAUAUCUCAUGACAACUGAUGCGGGACAACAUUUGAAACCUUACCAUUUACAAACAUUAAACAAACCCACAUUACCAGAAGGAUGCUUUACGAACACUGCAAAAUCAGCAAUAAAACAUACAUAACUCCAAC
Long non-coding RNA from Drosophila subpulchrella, 849 nucleotides. RefSeq lists it as uncharacterized. NCBI's taxonomy places the organism in Eukaryota, Metazoa, Arthropoda, Insecta, Diptera, Drosophilidae. The transcript is spliced from 6 exons. The record is from RefSeq and is a predicted model, not a curated record.